UCAUGGUUCCUAGUCGGAUUCGUUAACCACUGCGCCACGAUGGGAACUCCUUUUUUGGUAUUUUUGACAAACUUCUCAAAUACCAAAUUCUAAUUGAAGUUCUUUUGACCUCCAGCUAACUCUGGGAUGCUUCAAAGGAGCCCUAAGGCAUCUCCAGGGAAUAUUAAACUAAUUAAGCCUAUUUGUAUGUUAAAUUACUUGAAGCAUUAUUGAAUGUUUGGAGGUAAACCUUUGAUAUACUAUAUGGGCCACAGCGGAAGAGACAGAACGUAACUGGGUCGUGAUCUGUGUUGUACCAGAGCUCUGCAGCGAGUGCAUGGAGGGUCACAGCUUCACCGAGGUUGGUCGGGAAGAACACCUCUGGAACGGCAACAGGCGAGCAGGACUGGAAAGUGAGGAGGGAUCCCUGGGGACAGAGCUCGGGGCAGAGUAGAUGACAAGCACAAAUGCCCUCAGGUGGGAGCCAUUUUGCUUCUUGAAGGAAAAAAAGGAGACCUCUGUAGCCAGAGGGCAGCGAAUGAGGAAGACCCCCCACCACACACACACCAAGGGGGGGAUGGGGAGGGGAGGUCAAAGAUGAAGGCGGAGGGGCCACAUCAAUACUGUCAAGUCUUGAGCUUUUACACGGAGGAAGAUGGGAAGGCCCUGAAAGCUUCUGAGCCCGAGAGCCUCAGAACUAUUGUUUUAACGCAGGCUUUUCAAGAAGCAGUCUGGCCUGUCGUGCAAGGGUGACAGUGGGAGACAGUUGAGAGGCACUACAGUCAUCCAGGCUGGCCCAAGAAUAAACAAUGUAUACCAUGAAAUCCAAGCCCACUGUCACAUGUCUUUAUGCACGGUGGCUAAUGAAAGGAAGUGUAUUCUUGCUGUGGUACAUCUGUGGUUUGGGAGCCCCACGAGAUGG
This is a non-coding RNA of Sus scrofa (pig), 901 nucleotides long. The record is from RefSeq and is a predicted model, not a curated record. Lineage: Eukaryota; Metazoa; Chordata; Mammalia; Artiodactyla; Suidae.